This 280-nucleotide non-coding RNA is filed under the name Betaproteobacteria bacterium. Lineage: Bacteria; Pseudomonadati; Pseudomonadota; Betaproteobacteria. The record is from RNAcentral.
CACUGCGUCCCGUUCCGAGGUGCCCUGACAAUGAUCUCCAGGGUUAAACGGGAAAUCAGGUGAACCGGCCCGGAUUCGCGGCAGUAUGCGCCGCAAGUCCGGAUUCGACAGUCCUGUGCUGCCCCCGCAACGGUAGGCGAGUGUGGGCGCGUCAUCCACGGGUCCUUUUAUAAGAUCCCGAGCCACUGUGGCGAGAAAGCAUGUUAGCGCUUACUCGCGAUGGGAAGGCGACGCGUCAAGACUUGCGAGCCCGGAUACCGGCCCUGUGAACAGCGACGGA